CGAAAUUUGAUGCGGUAAAGCUCGUUCGGGACGAGGGGGUCGCAAGUUCGAAUCUUGCCACUCCGACCA
Molecule: transfer RNA, 69 nt
Filed under: Breoghania sp. L-A4
Lineage: Bacteria; Pseudomonadati; Pseudomonadota; Alphaproteobacteria; Hyphomicrobiales; Stappiaceae
Description: tRNA-Ser
Source: RNAcentral